This 86-nucleotide transfer RNA is filed under the name Rhodospirillales bacterium. RNAcentral's name for it is "tRNA-Leu". It matches the Rfam family "tRNA". Rfam says of the family: Transfer RNA (tRNA) molecules are approximately 80 nucleotides in length. Their secondary structure includes four short double-helical elements and three loops (D, anti-codon, and T loops). Lineage: Bacteria; Pseudomonadati; Pseudomonadota; Alphaproteobacteria; Rhodospirillales. The record is from RNAcentral.
GCGGGCGUGGCGGAAUUUGGUAGACGCGCGUGGUUUAGGACCACGUGGCUAAGGCCGUGGGGGUUCGAGUCCCUUCGCCCGCACCA